AAAGUAGUUUAAAAUUAAAAACCUUAAUUUGUGGCAUUAAAACUAUCAGUUUAAAUCUGAUCUAUGGUC
Molecule: transfer RNA, 69 nt
Filed under: Aquilonastra batheri
Lineage: Eukaryota; Metazoa; Echinodermata; Asteroidea; Valvatida; Asterinidae
Description: tRNA-His
Rfam family: tRNA
About the family: Transfer RNA (tRNA) molecules are approximately 80 nucleotides in length. Their secondary structure includes four short double-helical elements and three loops (D, anti-codon, and T loops).
Source: RNAcentral